This is a long non-coding RNA of Myiozetetes cayanensis, 803 nucleotides long. RefSeq lists it as uncharacterized. NCBI's taxonomy places the organism in Eukaryota, Metazoa, Chordata, Aves, Passeriformes, Tyrannidae. The record is from RefSeq and is a predicted model, not a curated record. The transcript has 4 exons.
AAUAAAGGCAGAAGCUGAAGCAGUUUCUAAGCAAGAGCAGGAGGAGGAUGAUUUACUGUGAGCUGUAAUGAGAAAUAGACUCCUACUUCCAUAAAUUCAGGAUAGACUUUUUCCCUGGCUCUAAACAGGCAGCUCCAAACCCCAGCAGGAUUUCAGUGUUGGCUCAGGGAAGAGUCAAUGUUUGCUCAGCUCCCUCUUCAAACACUUCCAGCAUUUUGACCACUCCUUUGAAACCCUCCAGUGCUGCUUUGGAGUGUUCUGCUUCCAUGGUGUGUUGAAACAACUGUUAGACAUCUUUGUGACUCUUUAUGGACAGUUUUCCUGCUGGUGCCAUCCCGACUCUGCGGGAUCCCUGACACGGAAAAAGGAUUGAGCGUCGAGUCGUGACAUAACCUCCAUACUUGCAACAACUGGGGGAAUAUAUGUUGAGUUCCACAGCACAUCCUCUGUUUAAAGAUCCCACAGGGAUAUGAAGUAGAUUGGUGAGAUGAUGAGAAGUCCUGUGCACCCAACAGGAGGUGAGUUCUACAAAACUGCUGUUACCUGCAGGUUGUGGAGUUACUCGUGGUGUAAAUCACUGCCCAGUGUGAGGAACAGCCUGGCUCCCAGGUGGGAAUUAAUCUGCAAUCAAGAAAAUCCUGCUGCUCUGUUUCACCUGAGGAAAAAGGGCUUGAACACCACCACAACCCUGACGGGGAGCGACCUAGGAAGGGAAUGAGUCUUGGAUGGUGCCUUUCCAGCUCUUUCAGGGCUUUAGAGAAAAGGAUCUGGCUCCAGUGGAAAUAAAACAAGCAACACAAGGU